This 617-nucleotide ribosomal RNA is filed under the name uncultured bacterium. RNAcentral describes it as "bacterial SSU rRNA". It matches the Rfam family "Bacterial small subunit ribosomal RNA", at positions 338 to 948 of the family's 1533-position model. The record is from RNAcentral.
CCUACGGGAGGCAGCAGUGGGGAAUUUUGGACAAUGGGCGCAAGCCUGAUCCAGCAAUGCCGCGUGAGUGAAGAAGGCCUUCGGGUUGUAAAGCUCUUUUGUCAGGGAAGAAACGGUGGGAGCUAAUAUCUCCCGCUAAUGACGGUACCUGAAGAAUAAGCACCGGCUAACUACGUGCCAGCAGCCGCGGUAAUACGUAGGGUGCAAGCGUUAAUCGGAAUUACUGGGCGUAAAGCGUGCGCAGGCGGUUUUGUAAGUCUGUCGUGAAAGCCCCGGGCUCAACCUGGGAAUUGCGAUGGAGACUGCAAGGCUUGAAUCUGGCAGAGGGGGGUAGAAUUCCACGUGUAGCAGUGAAAUGCGUAGAGAUGUGGAGGAACACCGAUGGCGAAGGCAGCCCCCUGGGUCAAGAUUGACGCUCAUGCACGAAAGCGUGGGGAGCAAACAGGAUUAGAUACCCUGGUAGUCCACGCCCUAAACGAUGUCUACUAGUUGUCGGGUUUUAAUAACUUGGUAACGCAGCUAACGCGUGAAGUAGACCGCCUGGGGAUACGGUCGCAAGNUUAAAACUCAAAUGAAUUGACGGCUGAGACCGAGCGAGACGACGACGAGGGAGGAGG